Molecule: ribosomal RNA, 497 nt
Filed under: uncultured bacterium
Lineage: Bacteria
Description: partial 16S ribosomal RNA
Rfam family: Bacterial small subunit ribosomal RNA
Source: RNAcentral
GAUGAACGCUGGCGGCGUGCCUAAUACAUGCAAGUCGAGCGAACAGAUAAUGAUCUUGCUCCUUUUACGUUAGCGGCUGACGGGUGAGUAACACGUGGGUAACCUACCUAUAAUUCUGGUAUAACUCUGGGAAACCGGUGCUAAUGCCGGAUAACAUUUAGUACCGCAUUGUUCUAAAGUGAAAGAUGGUUUUGCUAUCUCUUAUAGAUGGACCCGCGCCGUAUUAGCUAGUUGGUAAGGUAACGGCUUACCAAGGCAACGAUACGUAUCCGACAUGAGAGGGUGAUCGGCAACACGGGAAGUGAGAAACGGACAAGAGGACGACGGGAGGCAGCAGAAGGGAAUAUGCCGCAAGGGGCGAAAGCAUGACGGAGAAACGCCGAGUGAGUGAUGAAGGUCUUCGGAUCGUAAAACACUGUUAGUAGGGAAGAAAAAAUGUGUAAGUAACUGUGCACGUCUUGACGGUAACUAAUCAGAAAGCAACGGCUAACUACGUG